RNAcentral lists this long non-coding RNA (939 nucleotides) under Homo sapiens (human). RNAcentral describes it as "HSALNT0390731". The record is from RNAcentral. Lineage: Eukaryota; Metazoa; Chordata; Mammalia; Primates; Hominidae.
GGGCUGAGGAAGGGAAUAAGUGAAAUGCCUUUAUUACAUUUCUACUGGGCGCUAUGUAGGGUCUCCUAAUUAAGGCAACUCUCUGGAUAAAUAACAUUUCUCCUCAGCAGUAGUCUUCUAAGAUAUUUGCUCAUCGACGUGAAAGAUUUUUAUAAAACAAUCCUAACACAUUUCGCUGACAAAAUUUUUCAUCAUGAUGAGUUGAAAAAGAUUUCAUCUGGAUCUCGUUAUUGGGCCAUGAGAAAUAGCAGCCCGACCCUCACUCUGGUCUGGGAACAAAAUUUGGCAAGCCAGCCAGGAGAGACUGGGAUGGUGCUGUGUUCAGCGGCUAGCAGCUUGCAAUGAGACAGUCUUCAGGAGGAUCCCAGCAGCUGCUGAUGAGAUUUCCCAAGGACCCUCUUGAAGGCUGUUUCAUGCAGAAAAUUGCACAUCUCUUUCACUACUGGGGAAGAAUGGAGAUCAGGAGUGGAUGCACUCAAAGGGUCACAAUUGAAAAAACUGAUCAUUUUACCAAGGCUUUGACUGGAAUGGUGUGCUUUCCUUUAAGAAAUCAAACUUGACUUAUGGAGCCAACGGAACCCCAAGUUGUCUUGGAACCUCAAGAGGAGAGAAAUUCACCCAACACAUAGGUGCUGCCUCUAAGCCCUGAAGCAGAGAGUGCUACCAAGAACAAAUCGACCUCUUCCACUCCAGUGCUGUGUUUGGUGCCCCAUAACGACGACCCUCUCUCAGCAGGAAGUAGCCAGAAAGGAGCAAAACAAAAUUUCUCCUGGGCCGCACAGUUUGGCAAUUAUCUUUUGUUGCCUUGGCUGCAGCUACUAUGCCAUCAGCUCCCAACUCCUAACUUCAAUGAACCAAGGAGGUAUUUUUCUUAAACAAAGACCACUCCAACCCUGAAGAUUGGAAUUUCGCCACUGCCUGUAAGGAUAACAAGCUUUA